UACACUGCUGAGGGGAGCAGCGGGCGGCAGGAGAGGUCUGCACGCCAUGUGGGACCCUCCUCCGGUGGCCAGGGAGCAGCCGGGGAUCGAACCGGCACUGAAGAGGCCACGGGCAGCUUCGCAACCCAGCGCUCAACUGCUGCGCCACCGGGGAGGCCCACUCUCAUGGAAUUUUGAAUACUGAAAAAUACAAAAAAGUUGUACAAUACUUUGAAAAAAGGGAUGACUUGGAAGACAAGUGCUCAGCUUAUAGGACCGAACUACCUGUCCUGUGAUGCUCUUGCUGAACUCAGAAGAUGUCAAGCACCAUUUGACCUGACCAGUGCCUGUACGACUCAGAAGAGUCAACUGCAGAAGAAUCAAUUGUAAAAAUACAGAUUUCUGGAUUCACCCAAGAGACUCUGUAGAAACAACAACUUUACCAAAUUGAAACCCUCAAGACAAAAGAGCCCAGGAAAGAAAUCUCAUCAUAAAAAUAGAAGAAGUUUUCAUGAAGUUGCUAUGUGUCAGAAACUUUUAAUGAAUCCAGUUGUAUUGUUUACCAAGUUAAAAUCCUCUCAGAUGUCAGGAGAUAGAUGCUGGAUGUCAGUUCAUAAAGUAUAGCUCUGGUGUGAUAGCAGAAAUACGAGACGCUGGAAUCCCUCCGUGCUAAGAGAUAAUGAAGGAGGCCAAAGAUAAGUUGGAAGACACACUGGUUACCAAGAGGGAUAACAAUUGUUUUUGCUAAAGCAAAUAUUUAUGAGACUGGGAUUUGAUUAUACAUUGUUUAACAAUUUAAGGAAAAGGUAAUUUUCUAGAGAUGCCCAUGCUGUUGCAGUAAUUCAGAUAACUGUACCUGGCAUGAAAAGAAUUAAUCAUUAGCAUUUGGAAUGCAUGCAAAUUGUGAUGGGUACAGAAGAUAUUUUGCAAUGUGAAAGUCUGAUGGUAUAACAUGUUGGGAGGAUUUUAUAUAUCCUAUUGCCACAGGCACUCUUCAGUCCUAUGUCAAUGUACAUCAGUGGUUUUUUUGAUUUCACUAACAUUUAUUGAAUGUUUUGUAUGUGUCAAUUUUAAUAUGGUAUGAACUU
Long non-coding RNA from Talpa occidentalis (Iberian mole), 1067 nucleotides. RefSeq lists it as uncharacterized. The transcript is spliced from 4 exons. Lineage: Eukaryota; Metazoa; Chordata; Mammalia; Eulipotyphla; Talpidae. The record is from RefSeq and is a predicted model, not a curated record.